This is a long non-coding RNA of Antechinus flavipes (yellow-footed antechinus), 3339 nucleotides long. RefSeq lists it as uncharacterized. The record is from RefSeq and is a predicted model, not a curated record. NCBI's taxonomy places the organism in Eukaryota, Metazoa, Chordata, Mammalia, Dasyuromorphia, Dasyuridae. The transcript is spliced from 2 exons.
GGCUCGCGGGGAGGCAUUUCGUUUAGAGGGGCCUGGGGAAGGGGUGGGGAGGGAUUCCCGUCCGUGCCGCCUCCUUCGUUCUGCCUUCCUGUGGUCCGUUCCCAGCCCCCAGCAUUUAUCAGGCACCUGCGGAAUCCUGAGGAGUCCCUAGCAUGUGGAGCCCUUUGGAAAGGGGCCCAGAGAGCCGUUCUCCCACGGAGAAGAGGCCGGAUCCCCUCGCAGGUGGGGGCAGACACUGGCAAGGGGCCCAGGAGGAGGAGAACAAAUGAUAGAGGCAGCUAGAGGACCAGCGGACAGAGCCCUGGGUCUGCCAUCAGGAAGGUGAGGUGACUUGCCCAGGGUCACCCAACCUUGAACUCAGGUGUUCUGGACUCCAAGGCCAGUCUUGUGAGCACACGGUAGUCACCUGGUUACUUGGUGCCGGGCCCUGAGCUGCCCCCAGACCGGAGUGUUCUCCUCAUUCUGCCUCCUGGCUUCCUACAGACUCAGCUCAGAUCCCACCUUCUGUUGGCCUCCCUUCCUAGUCCUUCCUCCCCUCCCCCCUUCUUUCACAGCAUAUGUCAACUGGCUUCCAUCAACCAGCAUUUAUUUAGCACCUACUGUUUGCCAGAGGCAGCUAAGUGUUACAGUAGAUACAGUGCUAGGCCUGAAGUCUCAGGCAGUGUAGUCCUGGGCAGUCAUAUAACUAGCCUGCCUCAGUGUCCUCAUCUGUAAAAAGAGCUGGAGAACGGCAACCCGGUUGCCAAGAAAACCCCAAAUGGGGUCAUAGAGAGUUGGACACGACUAAAGUGAAUGGACAGUGUGGCUACUUGUCAGAUGCACAGAUGGGCCCUGUCCCUGCCCUCGGGAAGCUUCUAUUGCACUGGUGGAAGAUGCCCCGGAAGCCUCAGCACUGCCGAGACGAAUUCUCCUUGGGCAGCUGGCAGGUUCAGAGGCUGCAAAAGCAAUCACGACCAUAGAGGCUGGGGAAGGUCCCUAAACAUUUAUUAGGCACUUCCUGUAUGCAGGCAUUGUGCUAAAUGCUAGCAAACCAAGAAAAGUCCAGGUGAAGGUCGUGCUUUGCAGGCACUGAGCUUUUCCAGGGGAGGGAUUCUUAACUGCUGUGGCUCAGCUGGUCACUCUCCUCUCCCACUCCCUUCAUUUGGUCCUUCAGAGCUGCAAAAGGGAUAAAUCGUCCCCAACAAGUGCAGUCCCUUGCUGGGAGCCUCAUUUUCUUUUCUGAAAUCGAAGAAACAAUCCCUUUGUGUUGAGCCUCUUGGAAGUGUUCUUCCGACAGUCAAGAGGGUGGGCAGGAGGUGCUGGGCAAGUCCCGGUUUUGUCUGGAAGCCCUACUGUGUGCUUUGCCCUGGGGACAGAGGCCAUAGUAUUGACAGAAUUCCGAAGAGCUCCCCUGUGGGAUUGCAGAGAAGGCCUGACUGGGGAGGGGUGAUGGCCCGAGGGCCCCCUUUGGCUUCAGACCUCUGUAAUGGGAUACACGUGAAGCGCUUGAAGGACAGAAGCAGAGGCUCUUUGCAGAGGCUGGGGGGCAUUCUCAUCACUGUGAGAGGGGAACGGGGCUCUGGGAUACCCAGAUCGGAGAACCCAGAGCACAAGCUGCCCGAUUCAAUUGUCAAAGGGAGAAACACGAGUCUCCACGUGGGCUCAAAGUCAACUUUCCCAGCACCAGGCGGGAGUGGCGGGAAGCUAGAUGCCCAUUUGGGAGAAGGAGACGUUGGCCCUGGAAGACCACAUGGCUUGGGCCAGGCUCCGAGGGGCGGGGGCGGCCUGGUUCCUCUCUCUCCCGCCCCACUCGGGCUCCAGGAUCCCUGCUGCCCAGAUGGCGUCUGCCUGGGAAGGACGUUGCCGACGGAGCAGUGCUGGCGGCCGUUCCCAUCUUGGACCCUCUCGGGCUGCUCUGUCGCUGGCCCUUUUCUGGGAGCCUCCUUUAAAUGAACGGCUUGCUGGAAAUGUAAGGGGGCUGGGCAGGCUGGAAAAGACUCCAGGCCAGAGAUGAAGGGCACCGAGCGGCAGGGAUGGGACACUGGGUGGCGAAGGCUGGAAAAGGGCCAGGAGGAGGCUCGCAAGAACUAAGGGCUGCGGACGCAAAGGCGGAGGCGGAGUCACACUGACCCGGGGACCGCUCGUAGCGCUCUGGCGCCCCAGCGCGGCUGCCGAGGGGUACUACGUCGGCUCUCCGCCAGACUUCAGCUGGAUAGGGGAGAGCAGUGCGCGCACCGUGGAGCUGUGGGCGGGGCCCGGCCUGCGUGCGCGGCGCCGGUGGCUACGUGCCCAACGACCCUGUUCUCAUGGCCCUGCGUAGCCGUCGGGUGCGGUCCAUACCACUGCGCUAACCUAGGGGGAGGCCCGUUCUCCCUCACCUUCCCCAUCUCUGCCUGGAUGGGGCCUGCGAACCUCCCCUCCUUCCGUCUCUCCGUUUGCACUCUUUUUAGGGUGCGCAAUAAGGUCAAGCGAUUGCGAGGGAUAGACUCACUCUAGAGUCUACCUCCCCCAUCUCCGAGAAAAUGGUUUCCCCCAGAAGGAAGACGUGCAGAAACGAACGCGCCGCGCGGCCCUCGGCCGGGGCACUGGGGCCUACCACCCUUGCGGGGCCCAUAGGCCACGCCCUUUCUCUCGCUCAUUGGCUGCAUCUGCAGCGGGGCGGGCUUAGACCGACUUCCUAUUGGUUGGGAGGCUAGCGAGUAAUUUGCAAAGGGGCGUGGUCUGUGGGGCGGGGCGGAAGGCUGGGUACGCGGGGCGGCGGCGGUGGCGGAGCGCGGGCUGGCGGGGCCGGGGGACCGCGGCCCGGGGGCCUAUCUCGGGGCCCGGGGGCCAGGGAGACGUUGGUCCUGGGCCGACCCAGCCCUGGCGGCUCGGAUCCGGCCUUGGGAAACUCCCGGUGGCGCCAGGGGGAGUGGGGCCGUCACUGCCGAGGCCCCCAGAGCGGAGCCGGGUUCCAAGGAUGAUAAACUGUGGCUGAGAUGGGAACCAACUGGGUGAAGAUGGAAGUAUGGCGGUCCUGAGAGGGCCCCAGCUGUCAGCACACUCCCCUUGCCCCAUCACAAGUCCAUUUCCCUUCUCCUGGUUAACUGGAAGGUGCCCAAUGCCCACCCUGGAAGACGGUGGUCAGUGUAUCUUUCCCAGGAUCCUGGGAGAGAUGGAGGCCCUCCCAGACCCCCCAAGUCCUCUCACAGAAACGUCCCUUCAGCAUCUCCUGGGAGCGGAGUCCUUUGGAAGGGCCGCAGUUGGGACUCUCGGUUCUGGACCUGUGCUUCGCUUUGCUUGGGGAGGGCAACUGCUUCUCGUACUGCCAAUAAAGAAUCAUCUAAGGGCAGUGCGCCACUGCUUGGUGUUUGUGCUUGA